AACGAACGCUGGCGGCAUGCCUAACACAUGCAAGUCGAACGGGAUCCUAGCUUGCUAGGUGAGAGUGGCGGACGGGUGAGUAACACGUGGGAAUCUGCCUUUUGGUUCGGGAUAACCGCGGGAAACUGCGGCUAAUACCGAAUGCCCUCGAGAGAGGAAAGAUUUAUCGCCAGAAGAGGAGCCCGCGUCCGAUUAGGUAGUUGGUGGGGUAAAGCUACCAAGCCGACGAUCGGUAGCUGGUCUGAGAGGAUGAUCAGCCACACUGGGACUGAGAUACGGCCCAGACUCCUACGGGAGGCAGCAGUGGGAAUA
Molecule: ribosomal RNA, 312 nt
Filed under: uncultured bacterium
Lineage: Bacteria
Description: bacterial SSU rRNA
Rfam family: Bacterial small subunit ribosomal RNA
Source: RNAcentral